Molecule: unclassified non-coding RNA, 232 nt
Filed under: Ambisporaceae sp.
Lineage: Eukaryota; Fungi; Glomeromycota; Glomeromycetes; Archaeosporales; Ambisporaceae
Description: partial contains 5.8S ribosomal RNA and internal transcribed spacer 2
Rfam family: 5.8S ribosomal RNA (bases 1-71)
Source: RNAcentral
GUGAAUCAUCGAAUUUUUGAACGCAUAUUGCACUCUCUGGUAUUCCGGAGAGUAUGCCCGUUUGAGGGUCAUUUGAAAUCAUAUAACUACCAAGACUUCACGGAAUUUAAAAUGGGUUGUCCAUUUUUUGUGGUCGCUUAAAAUCUAAGACAAGCUCAUCCUCUUGGGUUGUGUGAUACUCUUGGUUACUUCGUGACUUAACCAGGACUCAUCGGGCGUGCUAUGCAUUACG